UACGUAGGGGGCAAGCGUUGUCCGGAUUUAUUGGGCGUAAAGAGCGUGUAGGCGGCAGUACAGGUCAGCUGUGAAAACUCGAGGCUCAACCUCGAGACGUCGGUUGAAACCGUACGGCUAGAGUCCGGAAGAGGAGAGUGGAAUUCCCGGUGUAGCGGUGAAAUGCGCAGAUAUCGGGAAGAACACCCGUGGCGAAGGCGGCUCUCUGGGACGGUACUGACGCUGAGACGCGAAAGCGUGGGGAGCGAACAGG
This 253-nucleotide ribosomal RNA is filed under the name uncultured bacterium. RNAcentral describes it as "partial 16S ribosomal RNA". It matches the Rfam family "Bacterial small subunit ribosomal RNA", at positions 524 to 776 of the family's 1533-position model. The record is from RNAcentral.